This 609-nucleotide ribosomal RNA is filed under the name uncultured bacterium. RNAcentral's name for it is "bacterial SSU rRNA". It matches the Rfam family "Bacterial small subunit ribosomal RNA", at positions 338 to 951 of the family's 1533-position model. The record is from RNAcentral.
CCUACGGGAGGCAGCAGUGAGGAAUAUUGGACAAUGGGCGCAAGCCUGAUCCAGCCAUGCCGCGUGCAGGAUGACGGUCCUAUGGAUUGUAAACUGCUUUUAUACGGGAAGAAACCCUGGCUCGUGAGCCAGAUUGACGGUACCGUAAGAAUAAGGAUCGGCUAACUCCGUGCCAGCAGCCGCGGUAAUACGGAGGAUCCAAGCGUUAUCCGGAAUCAUUGGGUUUAAAGGGUCCGUAGGCGGUUUAAUAAGUCAGUGGUGAAAGCCCAUCGCUCAACGGUGGAACGGCCAUUGAUACUGUUAGACUUGAAUUAUUAGGAAGUAACUAGAAUAUGUAGUGUAGCGGUGAAAUGCUUAGAGAUUACAUGGAAUACCAAUUGCGAAGGCAGGUUACUACUAAUUGAUUAACGCUGAUGGACGAAAGCGUGGGUAGCGAACAGGAUUAGAUACCCUGGUAGUCCACGCCGUAAACGAUGGAUACUAGCUGUUGGGAGUAAUCUCAGUGGCUAAGCGAAAGUGAUAAGUAUCCCACCUGGGGAGUACGUUCGCAAGAAUGAAACUCAAAUGAAUUGACCGGNUGAGAGAGCGAGACGACGACGAGGGAGGAGG